ACUCAUUUAUUACCUCGCACAGAAACGGGAUUUUCGUGAUGAUGCAUAUUCUAAAUUCGUUUGACUAGAUACGAAGGAAUAUUAGCAAAAUUUCAGUUUCAAAAAUUGCUGAUUGAUAAUUAAAUUUACCUGGAUUAGCGGCACUUGAAACAUCCGCCAUGAGAAUUAGUAGCUUGUAAAGAACUGAAGAUGAAAUGCUGACCUGACGCCUAGAAGAUGUAUUCUAAUCAAUAGCCGAAGUAAAUCUUUCUUCUGCCGACUACAUUACCUGCAAUACGCAAACUAAAGCUAGUACAGAAUACUAAUGAGAUAUCGAUUACUCAAAUACAAGUGGAUCUACUGUAAUCAUCUCAAAAUGAUUACAAAUAAAGAUUAAACGUUUCCAUGAUCUUUGGAAUAAAUGCACGAGGUUUGCAAACAGAGUCACUGCAUGAGAUUCUACAGAGAGGAAUGCAUCCAUAAAUUUGAUCAUUAAUGGAAGUUAAUGGUGCAGUCAGUCAUCAAACAGUGACAACCAUGGCAAUUACUGCAAUGCGACCUCAGCAAGAAAUAUGAAGACUGAUGUAUCUGUUGAGUAAGACAAUGCUGGUUUACUAAUUAUAAUUUUAAAGCAAAUAUAAUCUUUGCAUUAUGUAUUGUAAUGUGUAAGAUAACAAAUAAAUACU
Molecule: long non-coding RNA, 665 nt
Organism: Stegodyphus dumicola
Lineage: Eukaryota; Metazoa; Arthropoda; Arachnida; Araneae; Eresidae
Source: RefSeq, a predicted model, not a curated record